GAUGAAGAACGUAGCAAAAUGCGAUAAGUAAUGUGAAUUGCAGAAUUCAGUGAAUCAUCGAAUCUUUGAACGCACAUUGCGCCCGCCAGUAUUCUGGCGGGCAUGCCUGUUCGAGCGUCAUUUCAACCCUCAAGCACAGCUUGGUGUUGGGACUCGCGUUAAUUCGCGUUCCCCAAAUUGAUUGGCGGUCACGUCGAGCUUCCAUAGCGUAGUAGUAAAACCCUCGUUACUGGUAAUCGUCGCGGCCACGCCGUUAAACCCCAACUUCUGAAUGUUGACCUCGGAUCAGGUAGGAAUACCCGCUGAACUUAAGAAUAUCAAUAAGCGGAGGA
Molecule: unclassified non-coding RNA, 332 nt
Filed under: soil metagenome
Description: partial contains 5.8S ribosomal RNA, internal transcribed spacer 2, and large subunit ribosomal RNA
Rfam family: 5.8S ribosomal RNA (bases 1-120)
Source: RNAcentral